Molecule: long non-coding RNA, 803 nt
Organism: Zophobas morio
Lineage: Eukaryota; Metazoa; Arthropoda; Insecta; Coleoptera; Tenebrionidae
Exons: 3
Source: RefSeq, a predicted model, not a curated record
AACUGAUUGAUAUGGAUACCAGUUCAGUAUAUUAAGUGUAGGUGAAACACACAAGACUUGAAAUGCAACCGUUAUUUUUUUACAUUUUCUUCAGUUUCUUUUUCGUUUCGGUCUUUGCUUGGCCUCCUUGGAGCGAAGAAACGAAUCUCAGGAUUCAAAAUUUUUCAAAAGAAGACAUCAUAACGACCGUUGUGACUGGCGUAAACUAUUUCCAUUUUGUAGGAAAAAACGGGCCACAAUAUAAGUUCCAAGGAGCUGCAAUACCAGCAGGGCACGUUCUUACAGAGAUAAUCAAAGUGAACCGUUUCGCAUCAAACUGUCCUUUCACUAUGAUUUUUUAUUUUCGCGGUGGCUCGACGGCUACGUUUACAAUAAACCAAAAGUAUGCACUUAAAGCUAAACCGAAUUUUUCAUCUGAUGGGAACCGCAAAAUUGGAUACGAUAAACUUGGAAAUACUAUUAUUAUAACGGUUUCAGACAAUGGUGAAACGGUUACAGCCACUACACCGAAAGUGACAGAUAACAGUAAAACGUUAACACCCACUAUACCGAAAGUUGAUAAUGAUAGUAGAACGGUAACACUCAACACGCAAGAAAAAUCUGAUGUCGACGUCUUUCCCUAUCCACGUUGGUAUCGUGUUCUAGGCGAUUUACUCUUUCACAUAGAUAGAGUCAUAAAUUCUAUUAUCGCAAUAAUUAUUAUUAUUAUCCCUUAUUUAUAUUAUUAUAACUGAAAAUUAAUGAAAAGAGAGCAAGCGCUGUUCUGCCCGUGGGACUGAGCAAUUAAAAUCUUUAAUAACAAA